RNAcentral lists this ribosomal RNA (595 nucleotides) under uncultured Bacteroidota bacterium. Its description in RNAcentral is "bacterial SSU rRNA". It matches the Rfam family "Bacterial small subunit ribosomal RNA", at positions 122 to 715 of the family's 1533-position model. The record is from RNAcentral. Lineage: Bacteria; Pseudomonadati; Bacteroidota.
CAACCUGCCUAUAACUAGGGAAUAACCUUGCGAAAGUAAGACUAAUACCCUAUGAUUUCCUUUGAUGACAUCAGAUUAGGAAUAAAGAUUUAUCGGUUAUAGAUGGGGAUGCGUCUGAUUAGCUUGUUGGCGGGGUAACGGCCCACCAAGGCAACGAUCAGUAGGGGUUCUGAGAGGAAGGUCCCCCACAUUGGAACUGAGACACGGUCCAAACUCCUACGGGAGGCAGCAGUGAGGAAUAUUGGUCAAUGGGCGGAAGCCUGAACCAGCCAAGUAGCGUGCAGGAUGACGGCCCUAUGGGUUGUAAACUGCUUUUAUACAGGAAUAAAGUUAGCCACGUGUGGUUAUUUGUAGGUACUGUAUGAAUAAGGACCGGCUAAUUCCGUGCCAGCAGCCGCGGUAAUACGGAAGGUCCAGGCGUUAUCCGGAUUUAAUGGGUUUAAAGGGAGCGUAGGCCGUCUGUUAAGCGUGUUGUGAAAUGUAGAUGCUCAACAUCUGAGUUGCAGCGCGAACUGGCAGACUUGAGUGUGCGCAACGUAGGCGGAAUUCGUGGUGUAGCGGUGAAAUGCUUAGAUAUCACGAAGAACUCCGAUUG